UGUGUGUUAGUGGAAGCGUCUGGAAAGGCGCGCGAUACAGGGUGACAGCCCCGUACACAAAAAUGCACAUGCUGUGAGCUCGAUGAGUAGGGCGGGACACGUGGUAUCCUGUCUGAAUAUGGGGGGACCAUCCUCCAAGGCUAAAUACUCCUGACUGACCGAUAGUGAACCAGUACCGUGAGGGAAAGGCGAAAAGAACCCCGGCGAGGGGAGUGAAAAAGAACCUGAAACCGUGUACGUACAAGCAGUGGGAGCACGCUUAGGCGUGUGACUGCGUACCUUUUGUAUAAUGGGUCAGCGACUUAUAUUCUGUAGCAAGGUUAACCGAAUAGGGGAGCCGAAGGGAAACCGAGUCUUAACUGGGCGUUAAGUUGCAGGGUAUAGACCCGAAACCCGGUGAUCUAGCCAUGGGCAGGUUGAAGGUUGGGUAACACUAACUGGAGGACCGAACCGACUAAUGUUGAAAAAUUAGCGGAUGACUUGUGGCUGGGGGUGAAAGGCCAAUCAAACCGGGAGAUAGCUGGUUCUCCCCGAAAGCUAUUUAGGUAGCGCCUCGUGAAUUCAUCUCCGGGGGUAGAGCACUGUUUCGGCAAGGGGGUCAUCCCGACUUACCAACCCGAUGCAAACUGCGAAUACCGGAGAAUGUUAUCACGGGAGACACACGGCGGGUGCUAACGUCCGUCGUGAAGAGGGAAACAACCCAGACCGCCAGCUAAGGUCCCAAAGUCAUGGUUAAGUGGGAAACGAUGUGGGAAGGCCCAGACAGCCAGGAUGUUGGCUUAGAAGCAGCCAUCAUUUAAAGAAAGCGUAAUAGCUCACUGGUCGAGUCGGCCUGCGCGGAAGAUGUAACGGGGCUAAACCAUGCACCGAAGCUGCGGCAGCGACGCUUAUGCGUUGUUGGGUAGGGGAGCGUUCUGUAAGCCUGUGAAGGUGUACUGUGAGGUAUGCUGGAGGUAUCAGAAGUGCGAAUGCUGACAUAAGUAACGAUAAAGCGGGUGAAAAGCCCGCUCGCCGGAAGACCAAGGGUUCCUGUCCAACGUUAAUCGGGGCAGGGUGAGUCGACCCCUAAGGCGAGGCCGAAAGGCGUAGUCGAUGGGAAACAGGUUAAUAUUCCUGUACUUGGUGUUACUGCGAAGGGGGGACGGAGAAGGCUAUGUUGGCCGGGCGACGGUUGUCCCGGUUUAAGCGUGUAGGCUGGUUUUCCAGGCAAAUCCGGAAAAUCAAGGCUGAGGCGUGAUGACGAGGCACUACGGUGCUGAAGCAACAAAUGCCCUGCUUCCAGGAAAAGCCUCUAAGCAUCAGGUAACAUCAAAUCGUACCCCAAACCGACACAGGUGGUCAGGUAGAGAAUACCAAGGCGCUUGAGAGAACUCGGGUGAAGGAACUAGGCAAAAUGGUGCCGUAACUUCGGGAGAAGGC
Molecule: ribosomal RNA, 1419 nt
Filed under: Escherichia coli
Lineage: Bacteria; Pseudomonadati; Pseudomonadota; Gammaproteobacteria; Enterobacterales; Enterobacteriaceae
Also listed under: 1 other name
Description: partial 23S ribosomal RNA
Rfam family: Bacterial large subunit ribosomal RNA
Source: RNAcentral